RNAcentral lists this ribosomal RNA (253 nucleotides) under uncultured bacterium. RNAcentral describes it as "partial 16S ribosomal RNA". It matches the Rfam family "Bacterial small subunit ribosomal RNA", at positions 524 to 776 of the family's 1533-position model. The record is from RNAcentral.
UACAGAGGGUGCAAGCGUUGUCCGGAAUUAUUGGGCGUAAAGAGCUCGUAGGCGGUCUGUCGCGUCGGCUGUGAAAACCCGGGGCUCAACCCCGGGCCUGCAGUCGAUACGGGCAGACUAGAGUGCGGUAGGGGAGACUGGAAUUCCUGGUGUAGCGGUGAAAUGCGCAGAUAUCAGGAGGAACACCGGUGGCGAAGGCGGGUCUCUGGGCCGAUAUUUACGCUGAGGAGCGAAAGCGUGGGGAGCAAACAGG